CCUCCGGACUUUUACAAGAACUGGACUUCGUCUGAACUUCUACAGUGGAUGGAUUCCAGAUGAACUUCUACAACGGACGGGUUCCAGCAAUCGAAUUUCUACAACGGCCGACCGCCUCCAAUGUCCUCCAUACCUCUCCAGCCAUCAAUCUUCAAUAGCGUCAGCCGAACUUCAACAGCGUCAGUCGGACUUCAGCAGCGUCAAUCGGACUUCAACAAUGCCAACCGGACUUCCACAGGAUUCUCUAGAGGAUGA
RNAcentral lists this long non-coding RNA (255 nucleotides) under Elaeis guineensis (African oil palm). RNAcentral's name for it is "long non-coding RNA (EGUI_LNC029934)". The record is from RNAcentral. Lineage: Eukaryota; Viridiplantae; Streptophyta; Magnoliopsida; Arecales; Arecaceae.